CUCCUGGAAAACGGGUGGUAAUGCCGGAUGUUCCACAUGAUCGCAUGUGAUUGUGGGAAAGAUUCUAUCGGCGUGGGAUGGGGUCGCGUCCUAUCAGCUUGUUGGUGAGGUAACGGCUCACCAAGGCUUCGACGGGUAGCCGGCCUGAGAGGGCGACCGGCCACAUUGGGACUGAGAUACGGCCCAGACUCCUACGGGAGGCAGCAGUGGGGAAUAUUGCACAAUGGGCGCAAGCCUGAUGCAGCGACGCCGCGUGAGGGAUGGAGGCCUUCGGGUUGUAAACCUCUUUUGUUUGGGAGCAAGCCUUCGGGUGAGUGUACCUUUCGAAUAAGCGCCGGCUAACUACGUGCCAGCAGCCGCGGUAAUACGUAGGGCGCAAGCGUUAUCCGGAUUUAUUGGGCGUAAAGGGCUCGUAGGCGGCUCGUCGCGUCCGGUGUGAAAGUCCAUCGCUUAACGGUGGAUCUGCGCCGGGUACGGGCGGGCUGGAGUGCGGUAGGGGAGACUGGAAUUCCCGGUGUAACGGUGGAAUGUGUAGAUAUCGGG
Molecule: ribosomal RNA, 543 nt
Filed under: Bifidobacterium bifidum
Lineage: Bacteria; Bacillati; Actinomycetota; Actinomycetes; Bifidobacteriales; Bifidobacteriaceae
Description: bacterial SSU rRNA
Rfam family: Bacterial small subunit ribosomal RNA
Source: RNAcentral